ACCCGUGUGUCAGGGCCGAGGUAGGUGGAAGGGGGUGGAGACCCAUAAAAACUAAGAGUUAGAGCGUGUUUCUGCCGAAAACUAAAUCUUUUUCUCACCGCGCCCUCCCACGUGCCCGCUGUCGUACCUGCUCCUUCUCUCAGCGCGUGAAAACAUUGGCCACCUCCCUUCCCCAUCCGAGACGACACGCCCCCGUCCACGGAAGCGGCGGCGACAGGCGACAGCAGCGGCCGGGGGGCACGGGGACCUCAGCACCGCGUCCUCGCUAGGCGCGCCGCACACUGCUGGAGCGGCGCGUCCCCAUCCUCAGCGGCGUGCGGUGCUCGCCAUGGAUCCCGGCAUCCGCAUCCUCUCUGAGCUCACAGGUAGCCAAGCUUGCAACAAGGGACUGUAAAUUGCAAGGUUUGCUACCACACUCAGAAAGGAGCUGCAAAAUACUACUACAAACCAGGUUACUAACUUCUUUUUUUUGAAUGGUCACCGGGGGGAGAGCAUCCCCACCUGAAUUGUAUUCAAAAGGUGUGGCAGACCACAGAUCAAAGGCCUCAUUUUUAAGGAAAAUGAGACAAAAACCUUGCUCGAUUAAUUGAGGAAAACCGAGCUAAAACCAAGAUAACAUACCUACCUAAACUAGGUCUCGAACAACACACCCUAGCACAAGGGCAAUUGUGGCAUAACCACGGAUAACAACACUAUGUCCUAGCAUAAGGACAAAAAAAUGCGGCUUAAUCCGCGAAUAACACAACCAUACUAAGUACAAGCUCUAAAUUGUAGCAGCAACCAUGGCACCGCACCAUGCGGGAGAUGUCCCAAUAGAAGUUUUAGGAUUAUUGGGAGACUUGCUUUUGCAGUCUUUCAAUAAUCUUCUCCCAAUCCAACUAUCUUAUUGGGAGCGUCACAAUUCUUCCUUUAUUUAGGGAUAGUUGGGGUGAAUUAUUGGAUUGUCCCAAUAAUUAUUGGAAAAAGGGAAAAGUUUUGAGAGAUUGCUGGAGCACUAUUUUUUUAUCUACUCUCCCAGUAUGGUAGUUGGAUUGGGGAUCGGAAGACCGCUAUAGAUGCUCUAAUAAUGAAGAGGAUUCACUUUAAGUCCAAGAGAGACCUAUUUGCAGAUUUUCAAAUUUAUUUAUUCUAAUGUGAAGGAAAUAGUGCACAGGUACCUUCGAAGUUCUGAAUCCAUGUGACACAAAAUGUGAGUAUUUUUCUUUUAAGUGUUUACAAUUGUUCUAAGCGGUUAUUUAAUUGGCAUAAUGCUGGGUGACUUGUAUAGCUAUUUGCCUUUACUAACCAUAUUAAGUAAAGUGUUUUUUUAAUAUGUGAAUGAAAAUUAUGAUCGAAUUCGAAGUCUCUUUUUCAUUUAAAACACAUGUAUGUCGCACGUGCACUUUACUAGUUUUAUUAAAUAAAAAGAGACAAUUCCCUACUAGCGGAAUUAUCUAAAAAAAAAGAUAAGUGAGUAAUAGUACCAGAGCGGAGGGUGAUGGUGAAGCCAUCCCUGAGAGUCGGCCUCGAGCACUAAUCCAAUGGACAAUCUGAAAAAGUUUGGAGAGAAGCUUGAUCAAUAAGCAGUCUAGUUUCAAAACAGUUACAUAUGCCAAAAGCAGUUCGAUCAGCUGCAUGUUAGGUCCCUAGGUGUAGCCAUGACUCAUGAGCGGGAGUGGCUGAGUUUGUAUUGAGUUUCGGCCUGCUCAGUGCUGUAAGCCCAUGCGGCAAGUCGUUGUUGGCCCACAGCCCAGGAACGUGUAUGGGGUAUAACUGUAUAAGUCCCCAUGGGGGCGCCCCUGUAUCGGUAUGAAUGAAUUGAACCAUAACUGAA
Panicum virgatum (switchgrass) is the source of this 1813-nucleotide long non-coding RNA. RefSeq lists it as uncharacterized. NCBI's taxonomy places the organism in Eukaryota, Viridiplantae, Streptophyta, Magnoliopsida, Poales, Poaceae. The transcript is spliced from 2 exons. The record is from RefSeq and is a predicted model, not a curated record.